RNAcentral lists this ribosomal RNA (305 nucleotides) under uncultured bacterium. RNAcentral's name for it is "bacterial SSU rRNA". It matches the Rfam family "Bacterial small subunit ribosomal RNA", at positions 334 to 636 of the family's 1533-position model. The record is from RNAcentral.
GAUCCCUACGGGACGCAGCAGUGAGGAAUAUUGGUCAAUGGGCGGGAGCCUGAACCAGCCAAGUCGCGUGAGGGAAGACGGUCCUAUGGAUUGUAAACCUCUUUUGUCGGGGAGCAAAGAGGCCACGUGUGGUUAAAAGCGAGAGUACCCGAAGAAAAAGCAUCGGCUAACUCCGUGCCAGCAGCCGCGGUAAUACGGAGGAUGCGAGCGUUAUCCGGAUUUAUUGGGUUUAAAGGGUGCGUAGGCGGGACGGUAAGUCAACGGUAAAAAUGCGGACCUCACCUCCGUCGAGCCGUUGAAACUGC